CAUCCUCCAAGGCUAAAUACUCCUGACUGACCGAUAGUGAACCAGUACCGUGAGGGAAAGGCGAAAAGAACCCCGGCGAGGGGAGUGAAAAAGAACCUGAAACCGUGUACGUACAAGCAGUGGGAGCACAGGUUUACCUGUGUGACUGCGUACCUUUUGUAUAAUGGGUCAGCGACUUAUAUUCUGUAGCAAGGUUAACCGUAUAGGGGAGCCGUAGGGAAACCGAGUCUUAACCGGGCGUUAAGUUGCAGGGUAUAGACCCGAAACC
This 268-nucleotide ribosomal RNA is filed under the name Salmonella enterica subsp. enterica serovar Reading. Its description in RNAcentral is "partial 23S ribosomal RNA". It matches the Rfam family "Bacterial large subunit ribosomal RNA", at positions 454 to 722 of the family's 2925-position model. The record is from RNAcentral. Lineage: Bacteria; Pseudomonadati; Pseudomonadota; Gammaproteobacteria; Enterobacterales; Enterobacteriaceae. RNAcentral also lists the same sequence under 1 other name.